GGANGNCAUUAUCGUAACAACGGAGGUGCGAGGGCUGUCGCUGACCUUUCAAAGGUCGUGCACGCCCNAGCGCUUUCACACAAUCCAUCUCACCCCCUUUGUGCAUCACCGCGUGGGUCCCCUUUGCGGGAGGGCUUGCGUUUUCACAUAAAAACAUUUUGAUAGUGUAGAAUGUCCUUUUGCGGUCACACGCAAUCAAUACAACUUUCAACAACGGAUCUCUUGGCUCUCGCAUCGAUGAAGAACGCAGCGAAAUGCGAUACGUAAUGUGAAUUGCAGAAUUCAGUGAAUCAUCGAAUCUUUGAACGCACCUUGCGCCCCUUGGCAUUCCGAGGGGCACACCCGUUUGAGUGUCGUGAAAUCUUCAAAAAACCCCUUUUCNCNNAANGAAAGGGANUUUUUUU
Molecule: unclassified non-coding RNA, 404 nt
Filed under: uncultured fungus
Lineage: Eukaryota; Fungi
Description: sequence contains ITS1, 5.8S rRNA gene, ITS2
Rfam family: 5.8S ribosomal RNA (bases 203-356)
Source: RNAcentral